GAUGAACGCUAGCGGCAGGCCUAACACAUGCAAGUCGAGGGGUAGCAGGAUUAAGCUUGCUUAAUUGCUGACGACCGGCGCACGGGUGCGUAACGCGUAUGCAACCUACCUUAUACUGGGGUAUAGCCCGGAGAAAUUCGGAUUAAUCCCCCAUAGUACUAAUGAAUCGCAUGGUUUAUUAGUUAAAGCAUUGCGGUAUAAGAUGGGCAUGCGUCCUAUUAGCUAGAUGGUGAGGUAACGGCUCACCAUGGCUACGAUAGGUAGGGGGCCUGAGAGGGUGGUCCCCCACACUGGUACUGAGACACGGACCAGACUCCUACGGGAGGCAGCAGUGAGGAAUAUUGGUCAAUGGGCGCAAGCCUGAACCAGCCAUGCCGCGUGCAGGAAGAAUGCCCUAUGGGUUGUAAGCUGCUUUUAUUUGGGAAUAAACCUCUUUACGUGUAGAGGGCUGAAGGUACCAAAUGAAUAAGCACCGGCUAACUCUGUGCCAGCAGCCGCAGUAA
Molecule: ribosomal RNA, 503 nt
Filed under: uncultured bacterium
Lineage: Bacteria
Description: partial 16S ribosomal RNA
Rfam family: Bacterial small subunit ribosomal RNA
Source: RNAcentral